UACGUAUGGUGCAAGCGUUGUUCGGAAUCACUGGGCGUAAAGAGCGCGUAGGCGGAUAAUUAAGUCGGGUGUGAAAACUAUGGGCUCAACCCAUAGCCUGCAUCCGAAACUGUUUAUCUGGAGUCCUGGAGAGGCAGGCGGAAUUCUUGGUGUAGCGGUGAAAUGCGUAGAUAUCAAGAGGAACACCAAUGGCGAAGGCAGCCUGCUGGACGGUGACUGACGCUGAGGCGCGAAAGCGUGGGGAGCAAACGGG
This 253-nucleotide ribosomal RNA is filed under the name uncultured bacterium. Its description in RNAcentral is "partial 16S ribosomal RNA". It matches the Rfam family "Bacterial small subunit ribosomal RNA", at positions 524 to 776 of the family's 1533-position model. The record is from RNAcentral.